GUUCCGCUAGUAUUCUUGAACAGAACUGGAGGGUUUGAGAAUGCUUCAUUGUACGUUGGUGAUCUUGAAAGGAAGGUGAAUGAGGCCCAGCUUUAUGAACCUCUCUAUCAGAUUGGCCACGUUAUUUCCGUCAGGGUUUGUAGGGAUCAGAUGACGCAGUCAUCUCUUGGUUAUGGCUAUGUCAACUUCUCCAACGCUCGUGAUGGAAGAAUAGUGUUGACAAAAAACAACGAAUUUCGAUGAUAAACCUUGUGUCCUCAGAUUCUGCUACAAAUGCCUCUUGGAUACGGGGAGAAGGCAUAAGAAGCUAUGAAGCACGGACACUCCUUGGAUAAGGCGUGUCUCCGUGUCAGACACGUGUCGUGUUGUGUCCGACAUCGACACGAUACCGACACAUAUAAUUGUACUGCAUU
This is a long non-coding RNA of Medicago truncatula (barrel medic), 413 nucleotides long. RefSeq lists it as uncharacterized. The transcript is spliced from 3 exons. NCBI's taxonomy places the organism in Eukaryota, Viridiplantae, Streptophyta, Magnoliopsida, Fabales, Fabaceae. The record is from RefSeq and is a predicted model, not a curated record.